Molecule: long non-coding RNA, 8789 nt
Filed under: Homo sapiens (human)
Lineage: Eukaryota; Metazoa; Chordata; Mammalia; Primates; Hominidae
Description: HSALNT0064663
Source: RNAcentral
GCACAUUCUAUUUUAUUGCUGUUUCCAGAUUCCCAAAUUAUGCCUUUCAGAAUUACUUUUGUCACCACUUCUCUACCAGCUAAUAAUAUUUUCUCUAUAUAAAUUAUUGAAUUAAUGACUCAGGAUUAUAAUCGCCUGUGAAUUGUAUGGUAUUUAAUUUCUUUUCCAGCAGGUAAGAGUAGAAUAAAGAGAAUGUAAUAAGUUACAUGCAGUCACAAAAUGAGUCAUUAGAAUCAGAGACAGAAUUUGGACACUGAAGACACAAGUCCUGCUUCUCAGUAGUCCUGUUGGCUGCAUAAUAAUUUAACCUUCAUGCAAAACAGCUGAAUCAUACUGUUCUCUUCUGUGUCAUGCGUCCCAUUUAGACAGGCUUCCCUGCCUUGCCUUCUUCUUUGUAAUUCUUUUAUCUUUCUGUCUCUUUGUCUGUCUGGUUUAUGUAUUUAUCUAAAUAAUUUUUUUAAGUUUACAAAUAUUUCAGGAACUCUCUUACAUGGUGGUUGAAUGCUGAUCGUUUCAAAGGAGUUGAAAUGAUCCCACCCUAAAUAGCAAAGUACUACAAUAUUAUUCUUGCCUAGAAGCUGCCCAUGUGUAUUAAUUUAACUUAAGGUCAUUGUGGGUGCUUUUUAACUUUAGGUUACUUGAGCUAAAGAGACUUUUCUUGAAAGAAAGUUUGGCAAGAGGAAUUGGAGUAAUACUUAUUGGAACCUUCAGUAAUUGGGGAAAGGUAGGGAAGGAAGAACUGAAUUAGAAAAAAACCCACACUCAAAAUGUGCCAAACCAAGAUUUGAUUAAUUCAAAAGUUUACUUGGAGGUAUAUUUAUUUCUGAAUCUCAAUUUCUAUUUGUUAUAGUUCCAUGAAAAGUAUUAUCUAUCAAUAUAUGCCCUUAUUACUCAGGAAGCAAAUGGAAUGACUGGCUUUCAGAAGGUGAGAUCAGAGAGAACAUUCAAGGAGUAAAGGAAGACACAAUUCUACUCCUUUAAUAAAUAGUCUGCAUCAGAAACCCUACAACCUGAUCUGAAACUCAGGAAACAGGUAAAGCCAUAAGCAGGAAGAUGAUUAAGAGUUUCUUUAGAAGUCCUGCCAAGACAAAUCUCUGCAGUCAAAGUGGAAUCAUUAGUGGCCUCCUCGACCUCAAAGUCUUCAGAGAAAGUAGGAACAGUGGGUUUAUUAGGUAAUUCUCUCUAUAGAAGGGAAGGUGUUUUUUUUUUUCUCUAUAUUCUUGACAGGCAAUUGUACUUAAUGGACAAAUUUAUCCAAUAGACAAAACCUAUCUCAUUGUAAACUCUGAGUGUGCCUCAUGGGCUAGUUCAGCCAAGUUUAGGAGAUUACCAAAAGCUUAGCCAUCCACAUAGCACAGCAGAUUUUCACAAUUGAGACUGGGAUUUUUAAUCAAAGUAAGAUCCUUUUCAUUGAAAACUCCUAUAUAACUUUUGGAAAUCUACACAAAUAGUGCAAUAAUUAGAAAAUAAUAAUGUUAUGACAGAAAUUAUAAUCAUAUAUGGCUGUGUUUCUACUUUUACAUUAUUUCUGCAUCCCCAAUUCUUUGUUUUUAAAAAAUGUUUCUAAAUUGUUCUCAAAUGAUAGCACAAAUUCACAAAAUGUUGUGAGAAAAUGAAAAAUAAGAACUACUUAGAAAAGAUUUUAAUUCAAAAGAAAUAAUAGUUGAAAAUAAAUCCAUUUUAAAUUAUAAGGCUUCUUAAAAUGUAUUCUCAGUGGACUAAAGCAAUAGAUAUCAGCUAUAUAAAGGCCACACUUUCCUCUUAACGGUUUAGACAACUCAGAAGUUCACAUAAAAACCAUUUCUUAGUGUCACUAAUAUUUUAUUUAAUUUCCUAUAGCAGAAAAAAAAAGCAGAGGAAAUUAUUCUGAUGAAAACCAAAGACUUCCGACACUUUUAUAGCAUUAAAAUUUAUGGACACUAGAAAUCUUUAAUUUUACAUGAUUUCUUUUUUCUUUCCUCCCUCGUUUCCUUCUUCUCCACCCCUCCACUUUCUCUCAAUCUCUUUUUUUCUUUUUUUUAUGGUUAGAAUUUUAUGUCUUUGACAAAAAUUUUAUGACUUUUAAGAAGUCUUUGAUACCCUAAAGAAAUGAAGACAUUCUCCUAUAUUUUCUAAACACUUUAUGGUUUUACCUCUCACAUUUUGGUCUUUAAUUCAGCUGGAAUUGAUUUGCAUGUGUGGUGGGAGGUAGAAGCCCAAUUUUAUUUCUUCUACAUGGACACCCAAUUUUCAGAAAUGUUUCUUUUGAUCUGCGGUGCCACCUUAGUGUUUUCAUAUAUGAUAUACAUUUCAUAUAUUAAGUGUCCAUGCUUAUGUGGGUCUGUUUUAUCACUGUUAUGCUCCUCAGGUCUAUCUGAUUAUCUUUAUCUUAGUUACAGUGGUUUUAAGAUCAUUUUUCAUAUCCAAAAAGCCUGUUUUCCCAAUUUGUUAUUUAACAGUAGUUUAGCUGUUUUCAUCUCUGUCUUUCUGCCUCUCUCUCUCUCUCUCCAUCUCUGUGUGUGUAUUUAUUUACUUAUAUCUUAGUUGGUCAAACUUAAAAAAUCAAACUUAGGGAUUUUAUUGGGAUUGGAAUAAAUCUAUAUAUACAUUUGUGUAAAAUUGACAUAUUUACACGUAUCUUCCAAUUCAUGAAUAUGGUAUAUCUCUUCAUUUAUUUAGGUCAUUUAAAAUGUCACUCUAUAAAAUAUAUAAUUUUUUUCAUAAGGGUUAGAUGUUUUCUGGUGCAUUAUGUUUUAAAAAUGUCUUCCUAACUGAAAUAUUUUUGUUUGAGUUUUUAUUUUUUAAAUCUUGUACCUAUGUAUAAACAAUUUGCUUUUGUAUAUUAUUUGUGAAGCAACAUUUUUAUCUUCCCUUCUUCUAAUUUAUCUAUCUACUUAAUUUAUAUCUGCAAACUAUUGCCUUCAAAUAAUUAAAAUUUUGUUGCUUUCUCUCCCCACCCCAACCACUAUAGCUUAUAGUUCUUUUUAUUUCUCUACUACACUGUUUAGGUUCUCCAAUAAAAUGAUGAGUAGCAUUAGUCAUAGUAGAAACCCUUUUAUAUUUUUGAUCUAAAAAAGAAAGCUAUUAUUAUCUCUCUAAGUACAUUGUUGCUAUAGGUUUUUAAGAUAUUCUUUAUCAAAUUGAGGACAUUUUUUCUCUUCUAUUUGCUAAGAUAUUUUAAAUCCAUGAAUACAUAUUAAAUUUUUAAAGUUUUUUUCUUCAUUUUGUAAUUAAUAAUAUAAUUGUGGCAUUAUAUAUUCUUAUAUAUAACUAUAUAUUUCUAAAUAAACAAUUAUAGUGUAUAAUUAUUUUCCUUAAUAUUUUAAUAUAGCAAAUAACAUUAAUUGCUAUUCAUGUGUUAAGUCUACCUUGUAGUCCUGAGAUACAAAACUUGAUGAUUUUGUGUUAUCCUCUCUACAUGUUGCUGAAUUUUUCUUGCUAAGUUUUUGCUCAGAAUUUUAACAUCUAUGUAUAUGAGUGACUAAACCAUGAUUUUCUUAUCAUGACUUUGUAAAGGUUGAGAUUAAACUAUUGCUCAUCUCAUAACAAAAAUAGGGAGUUGUUUUUGUGUAUUUCUCCCAGAAGCGGUCUCUGAGACUUGAAUUCAAAUGCAAAAAUGUGAUUUGAGAGGAGCAGAGGAAAUACUGGCAGGGAAAUGGGCAAGAAAUAUAGUAGGUGCAACACUGCUCCUGGUAGCUGGCUGGAAUUCCAAGACUGUGGGCUUUAUCUUGUGAGAUGUUGUGGAAAUGAGGCCCGCAGAUCAUCACUGCUCAGCCCACUGAAUUCAGCCUCUUUCGUAGUGCACAAUGCUGCAGUUCAUUUCACAGCUGAGAAAACCAGGAGCCAGACAGAAUAAGGGACAGCCAAAUUUAUUGAGACUCUGGACAAAUAUGAUGCCAAAUGCAGCUGCUCUUGGAACUCACGGCUUCCCAAACCUCAGGAGACACAGUUGGUUGCCCAGGAAUUAAGGACCGGGGGAAACGGCUGUUCACUUCCACCUCUGGCCCCCUGGAGAGAAACACAGGUGGCUGAAAUCAUUCACCAAGUUCUCAAGACAGAUUGUCAAGUGCGAAGAAAGCACUUUAAAGAGAUUGAUAAAAUAAGAUGUCACAACCUCCAGUACUUCUUACUAUCAGAACCAAUCCUCAGGAGAAAUGCAGUAUUUAACAACAUUUAAGAUGAAAGAAGUUUGCUUAUUAAACAAAAUGUGCCAUCACCAACUCUGUUGGCCAAUUCCACAACAUUUAUGAAUUCCUAUCCUCUUCAUCCAAGUCAUAAUAUCCUGCUUCUAAUGCCAAGCUUUGCAUCAACCCAAAUAUGUAUAAGAUGGGAAGAAGAUAUGGAGCCCAACCACAGACUGAAGAUACCUUGAUUACAGAAGGCUUUGCAGACCUCGGUUAUUUCAAACAUUUUUGUUUUCUGCUUGGUAUCACAGAGUAUUUUUACCCCAGUGCAGUAUACCAGUAAAUUAGAAUGAGAGAGAGGUGACCUUUCUUGUCAAAAUGGAAGAAGAGUGAUUGUUCAAGAGGAGGUAAGAAAGGAGAACCAACACAUUUUCAGAUGACUUUCAGGAAAGACAUAAGUGUUGGGGAUGUGAGAAGUGAUUUCAUUAAAUCUGUGGCUGUUAACCCUUGGAAAGCCUCUGUCUACAGCAAGAACACAUGUAUCUCAGUUUAAAGGCCAUGAUAUAAUCUAUAUUUGAGUGUAUUUUGUUGUUGUUGUUGCUGUGUAACAAUUUAAUACAUGCUUAGAAGCUUCCAACACCACCACCCAUUUAUUAUCUCACAGUUUCUGUGGGUCAAGAGUCUGGACACACUUUAGUUGAGUUUUCUCUUCAGGGUCUCUGGUCAGAGUUGCAGCUCAUCUAAGAUUCAGAGUCCUCUUUUGAACCCACAUGUAUAUUGGCAGACAUUUCCCCACAGUUGAAAUAUUUAUGGUGAUUUGCUUUUUCUAGGUCAGGAAGAGAGAUUUUGUACUGCUCUGAGUUUCUGAUUGUUAGACCCACUUUUAAAUGACUCACCUGAUUAGGUAAGACCCAUCCAGCAUAAUCUCUCUUUUGAUUAACUCGAAGUGAACUAAUUAGGGACCUUAAUUAUGCCUGCAAAAAUCCCUUCACCCUCUCCAUAUAAUAUAAAACAAUCAAAGAAUGGCAUCCAUCAUAUUUGCUAAGCUUUCACCCAUACUCAAGGGAUAGGAUUGCAUAGUGUAUAAACCCUAGAAAGCAAAAAUCUUGGUGCCCAGUUUAGAAUUCUGUUUACCAUGCAUGACAAAACAGAACUUCCUAAACUCCAAAAACUUUCUCUUCAUUUACAAACAGGUUUCACAUAUGCUCUCUUUAAUUAAGUGCCCCUUUUCUAUUUGCUUUUAGGACCUACUUCAAGUCCCUUCUUUACUACUUCAAGUCCCUUCUUUACAAAGCAUUGCAAAGCUUUCCAUCCAACACAGGGAGAUAGAAGUCAUUUCUCCCUUUUUGAAAAUUAAAAUACUAGUUUUGUUAUUUGUAUAAAUAUUUAAUUCCCUUUUUAAACAAGUAACUCCUUGAAUCAUGUCUGAUUUAUCUUUGCAUUGUUUAUGAGAUCAAUGCAUUGUACUGAUGUAAAAUGCACACAAAUACAUGAUUGAGUAAAGGGAUAAAUUAAAAUGUGCCAUUGUUUAAACUUGAUGAUGCUUCUAGCUUUGGCUUCUCAGCCUUUCUCUAUUCUUAUAUCCAGCUGUGCAUAUGAGUAGGUUAUAAAUGUAUAGAAUAUAGAGCCAGUGUCUUCUCUAUCUUUUCUCAUACUUUUUAUUACAAAUCUCAGUGCUAAUUCCUACAUGUAUGGAUGCUCAUAACCAAACAGCCUUAUCUCACUGGUACAAACUGACCCUAAGAUCAACCAAGCAUUUGCCUGGUGUAGUUUAUGGUAACAUGCUUUUUCAUUGUUUCAAUUUAUUUUGAAAUGGAGAAAAUGCAUAUUGGUCAAUUUUCUGAAGAAAGAGUUAAAGGUGGCUGGGAUUCCAUGUCUCUAAUAUUUAAUAAGCGUCUUUCUACUACCAGAUUUUCAAGGGAAAUCUGAAUAUCAGACAUACUACUACAAAAUAUCAUUCUCUUGUGCUGCUGUGGCCACAAACCUUUCUGUAAAUUUCCCAGCUCUAGUGAGAUGGGUCAAAUCACUUGCAAGCCACAGUGAAAAUAUUAGGCCUUUAGUCUAAAACCUAGAAUAAAAGGAAAAAAAAAAACCUUUCUUAAACACUUUAUGGUAGAUCCAAAUCUUAAUUUUGGCCCUCAAGAUCUUGCCAAUGGGAUGGCCAAAAGUAAUCCCCGGUGGGGGAAAAUAUCAAAGGAAAGAAAGAAUUUUCCCUUUGGGUUUAGAGCAGAGUUCACCUAAUGAACACACCGCUGAGCCUUCCUAAUGCAAUAAGGUCCCCUCUUUUGGGGAGUAGCCCAAAAUUUAUAUAUCAUACAAAACAAGAAGCCAACAAUCAGAUCAAGUAAUUCCAAAAGGAAGAUUCCAAGGGGAACAAGUGAUGCAGACAUACAUAUUUUGAGACUCUUCUUCAGGAGAAAAGGGAAACAUACUUGCCCUGAAUUUAUGGGUUAAUAUAAACUUGAACUUGCCCCAUAGCAUACCUCACCUUCUCAGGUAGCAAGCGGGUUUGAGGGGCAUCUCUGAGAGGUCUCCUACUUGCCUAGUGGCCUGAAAUAGCAGGAAAUCUUCCUACCUACUUUGUGGAUCACGCUUCAUUAGAAUACCUACUGGUUUUGGUGAUUGGUUCCCUCUCUUUUCUCUUUUCUGAAAUACCUGUCAGAUAUACAUAAAAAAGUGAAUACAUCUGGCAUUUAGAAAGCCUAAAUUGAGAUCCUUUAAAUUAAAAAGGCCACUCUCUGCUAAAGGAAGGAAGUUACAUUACAAGUAACACUCCUUGAGGAAAAAAAAAGAGGCAUGCAUGCAGAAUUUAAUGCCAGAGUCUAAUUAGUUUUAGACUAGUGCUAUAAAACUUAAAGAGGAGCAAAGAUAAAUAUUUCAGCUAAUUUCCCUAUGUACUGUGAAUAAAAGAGCGAAAAUGAUUCUCAAAUUUGAAUGUUAUGAAGUUAUUUGCAAAGUAUAUUAAGUCAGAUCUUCUAUGUAAUGAAGUGUCUUUACAGUUUAAGAGACUUUCUAGGAGCUGACAUUUCUAUCAUAAAGAACGAGGCUCUUGUGGAUUCAUUAUGACUUCUUGAAACAAUCUGAACUAUAGACCUUGCUGUCUGCCAGCUGCGGACACAUCUACACAUUAACUGUGUCUAGGAGCAGCUCAGUGCACAAAGGCUCAAAGUUAUUUCCACUGUCAUGACCUAAAUCUCUGGCCAAGUGAUACCAUGUUGAAAAGCCUCCUUGAUAAUACCUGAUUUCUUUUUUCUCUUCACACUCACCUAAAGAAUUGCAUUUAAAAAAAAAAGAAAUCAAAUUGCAUGAUAGAAGGUCAUUAGAUAUAUGAAUGUCAUUAUGAAACCAAUCAAUGCAUCACUUUCCCUCCUUUGAUCAGCUUGAAUCCCUUCCUGGGAAGCCCCAUAACUCCUUCAGAAGUGGUCUCCUGUGCGUGAUUACUUUGACACAAUCUAGAUGAUGCUGUAUUAGGGAGGUGAGAAAGAGCAAGUAUCAAAACCAAAAUUACUAUGUAUAAGUUUGCAAAUGAGCUGAUGAUGUCCCCUUUGCCACUUUCACUAAGAAGGGAAAUAUAUUGAUUUGGAGUUACAGAGAUUCUGUUGCUCCUACUUUUACUUUACUGGCUGGUAAAUCUAUCCAACACAUCAUUUUAAAUAAUAGCUAUUUUUUUCAUUGGACUUUUAUAGCUUUUAUAUUAGUUUGUAGGGUUUAUCCCUAUAUGUUUCUAUAGCAAAAGACUGUUUUCUCCUCUAAUUCAAAAGGCAUCCAUGGUUUGUUUUAUCCUGGAAUAAUAUGUUUGCUUUAUAAUGAAAGCAUUUUUAAAUUAUGUAUUUAUACAUUAAUCAUUGGUUGAGACCAUCUUUCUUUCAAUGCACAAUUUGCUAUUUUUAUCUGGAGAAGAAAACAGAAACACCUCCUACUAGGCUACAAGUUCCUUGAGGGGAAGGAAUCUAGUUCCUAGCACAGUGCCUGGGACAUAGCAAGAUUUGAGUAAAUUUUUGUGAAUAAAUAAGUGAAUCAGUGUAAUAGAAAUACUUAUGAUAGCAUAUAUGAAUAUAUACACAAUGUUUACAAAGUGAGUUUACUCUACUUAGGAAUUAACUGCAUAGAUUAACUACUGAUAGCAACUGACCCAAGAUUGGGCCCUCAUAUAUUUGGAAAUAUGAAAUGCAGUUUAGAGAUAAUCAUAUGCUAUUUUCUACAAUUUUUUCAAAAUAGAGAGAAAGUUAAGAAAAAAAUAUGCAUAACUUCCAAUAAUGGAAUUGUAUAAAGUCAUAGCAUUUACUCCCUAAUACAUGUGCAAUUUCAUUUUUAUAAUUUCAUUUCUAUGGUUGUUUUAUGCAAGUAUUAAUAUAAAAAUUGCCAUCAAUCCUGAGAUAAUAUAAUUAAAAUAUUUAUGUUAACAGCAUUCAUUCAUUCAUGAAAAAUGUGUUUAAAUUGUAUCAAAUCAUAUUAAAAUGAGUUGUUUUGAACUACCCUUCAAUCUUGAGUGUCUGUAAUUCCAGGGUUCUGUGAUUAUUUUUCUCUCUGAAAUAGAUUCUAUCACAAAAUAAUGAACUUUUUUAAAGACCUGGAAACACAUGUCCUUCAUCUUGGUAUUGUCUUCAUCUUCCACCAAAAUGUUUAUUGAAUGAAAAACUGUGAAAUGUUAAUUUCUAAGAAUCAAUAAAAGUACUCUAGCCUUGG